This 301-nucleotide long non-coding RNA is filed under the name Coturnix japonica (Japanese quail). RNAcentral's name for it is "lncRNA (ENSCJPG00005004965.1)". Lineage: Eukaryota; Metazoa; Chordata; Aves; Galliformes; Phasianidae. The record is from RNAcentral.
UGGAUAACAACGCUCUUUUCUGAUACACCCAGAGAAAAAUGUCUGCUUUAAGAUUUGUUUGACCCCUCAUAAGAGAACAUUUAUGUUCCAGGUACUGUACAUAGGGUUUGGAGAGUCAGCAGCUGUCUCCAGGUAAACAUUCCCAGAUCUUGGCAUAAAGAUAGCUGGUGAGUUAGACGUUUUGUGGGUUUUUUGCUUCAGAGAAUGUUCUGAGAUCAGGGCCUGGGGCACUGUUGUUGGUUGUUAACAGCCCAUGACAAAAAACUAUGCCAAGGCUAACUUACACCUUACUAAAAAAAAU